This 440-nucleotide ribosomal RNA is filed under the name uncultured bacterium. RNAcentral's name for it is "partial 16S ribosomal RNA". It matches the Rfam family "Bacterial small subunit ribosomal RNA", at positions 338 to 795 of the family's 1533-position model. The record is from RNAcentral.
CCUACGGGAGGCAGCAGUGGGGAAUAUUGCACAAUGGGGGAAACCCUGAUGCAGCGACGCCGCGUGAGCGAUGAAGUAUUUCGGUAUGUAAAGCUCUAUCAGCAGGGAAGAAAAUGACGGUACCUGACUAAGAAGCCCCGGCUAACUACGUGCCAGCAGCCGCGGUAAUACGUAGGGGGCAAGCGUUAUCCGGAUUUACUGGGUGUAAAGGGAGCGUAGACGGCGGUGCAAGCCAGAGGUGAAAGCCGGGGGCUCAACCCCCGGACUGCAUUUGAAACUGUGCUGCUAGAGUGCCGGAGAGGCAAGCGGAAUUCCUAGUGUAGCGGUGAAAUGCGUAGAUAUUAGGAGGAACACCAGUGGCGAAGGCGGCCUGCUGGACGGUGACUGACGUUGAGGCUCGAAAGCGUGGGGAGCAAACAGGAUUAGAUACCCUUGUAGUC